Molecule: ribosomal RNA, 496 nt
Filed under: uncultured bacterium
Lineage: Bacteria
Description: partial 16S ribosomal RNA
Rfam family: Bacterial small subunit ribosomal RNA
Source: RNAcentral
GAUGAACGCUGGCGGCGUGCCUAAUACAUGCCAGUCGAGCGGACGGACGAGAAGUUUGCUUGUCUGAUGUUAGCGGCGGGCGGGUGAGUCACACGUGUAUAACCUACCUUUAAGACUGAGAUACCUUCGGGAAAGCGGAUCUAACACCGGAUAAUAUUUUGAACGGCAUGGUUCAAAAGAGAAAGGCCGUCUUGCUGUCACUUAUAGAUGUAUCCGCGCUGCAUUAGCUAGUUGGUAAGGUAACGGCUUACCAAGGCAACGAUGCUUAGCCGACCUGGGAGGGUGAUCGGCCACACGGGAACUGAGACACGGUCCGGACUCCUACGGGGGGCAGAAGUAGGGAAUCUGCAGCAGUGGGGGAAAGCCUAACGGAGCAACGCGGCGUGGGUGAUGAAGGUCUGCGGAUGGUAAAACGCUUUUAUUAGGAAAGAACAUAGGUGUAAGAAACUGUGCUCUUCUGAAGGUAACCUAAGAAGAAGGCCCGGCCAACUUAGUG